UACGUAUGGAGCAAGCGUUAUCCGGAUUUACUGGGUGUAAAGGGUGCGUAGGCGGACGCUUAAGUCAGCGGUAAAAUUGCGGGGCUCAACCUCGUCGAGCCGUUGAAACUGGGUGCCUUGAGUGGGCGAGAAGUACGCGGAAUGCGUGGUGUAGCGGUGAAAUGCAUAGAUAUCACGCAGAACUCCGAUUGCGAAGGCAGCGUACCGGCGCCCAACUGACGCUGAAGCACGAAGGCGUGGGUAUCGAACAGG
Molecule: ribosomal RNA, 252 nt
Filed under: uncultured bacterium
Lineage: Bacteria
Description: partial 16S ribosomal RNA
Rfam family: Bacterial small subunit ribosomal RNA
Source: RNAcentral